Molecule: long non-coding RNA, 424 nt
Organism: Salvelinus namaycush (lake trout)
Lineage: Eukaryota; Metazoa; Chordata; Actinopteri; Salmoniformes; Salmonidae
Exons: 3
Source: RefSeq, a predicted model, not a curated record
GACUCUGAAAAUGAAUCAGUCUGCAGUGAAACUUUCAUCCAUGUAUACGGCAUCAGCAGAACACGCCUGACUCUCCUCCUCCAGUCAUACAAGAAGAAUGGUCUGAUUCCUCCCAUCAAAAAGAGAGCUAGCUAAUGCAAUAGUAUUACCAGGACGCCACCCAGGACACAAACACAAAUCUGUUGCCAUCCCUUGUGACAAAAGCAGCAAUGUGGCUACAAGGAUUUGAUGACAACAGUUGAGGAACGAGUAGUCGGGCUGCCUUCCAUCAGGAAUCUGUGGAGAAAAUUGCUGCCCCACAUCUCAAGCACUAAGCCCAGGACAGACCUGUGUAGCCCUAUUUGGUAAAAGAACAAGUCCAUAUUAUGGCGAGAACAGCUCAAAUAAGCAAAGAGAAACGACAGUCCAUCAUUACUUUAAGACA